RNAcentral lists this long non-coding RNA (740 nucleotides) under Homo sapiens (human). RNAcentral's name for it is "non-protein coding lnc-CENPL-7:1". Lineage: Eukaryota; Metazoa; Chordata; Mammalia; Primates; Hominidae. The record is from RNAcentral.
AGAGCGCGAACCCAAACACAGAUCGCCGCUGGGGUCCAAGCGCCCUUCAACUCCGCCCGCUAGUGCCCAAGAUUACCGGGAAGGAAUUCAACGAAUCAGUGGUGAGGUGCCGCCGCCAUGCCUACUACGGGCGGAAAUUUGAGAGAAAGCUUCGCACCGGGGAUUUCAGUCUCCACAUAGUUUUGGAGCCGGACUUUUGAAGAAUGAUUCGUGAAUCCGGAAUGGGUGACAGCGUCAUCACGGCAUUUUAUUGACAGACCAUGGAUUCUUACAGUGCACCAGAGUCAACUCCUAGUGCAUCCUCAAGACCUGAAGAUUACUUUAUAGGUGCCACUCCUCUGCAGAAACGAUUAGAAUCGGUCAGGAAGCAGAGUUCAUUUAUCCUGACUCCACCUCGAAGGAAAAUUCCCCAGUGUUCGCAGUUGCAGGAAGAUGUUGACCCUCAAAAGGUUGCAUUCCUUCUGCAUAAACAGUGGACUUUAUAUAGUUUAACUCCCUUAUAUAAAUUCUCCUAUAGUAAUCUCAAAGAGUAUUCUAGACUUCUCAAUGCUUUUAUUGUUGCUGAAAAGCAAAAAGGACUUGCUGUGGAAGUGGGAGAAGACUUCAACAUCAAAGUGAUUUUUUCUACUCUCCUAGGAAUGAAAGGAACACAAAGGGACCCGGAAGCAUUUCUUGUCCAGAUUGUGUCAAAAUCUCAAUUGCCAUCUGAGAAUAGAGAAGGUAAAGUGCUGUGGACUGGC